AAAGAGUCACACAGAUGACUGGGCUCCUGGGCCUUUCUCCAGUAAGCCACAGAGGAGUCAGCUGCAAACAUUCUCUUCUGUUCUACAGACCUCUCUCCUCUUCCUGCUCAUGGGGUAAAAGAAAGAAGGCUAGCUCAAGGAGUCUAGCUGCUCCUCCAAGUCCCUCUUCUAUCUCUGCAGGACUAAGAGCCUCUGGAAAGGACUCGGCCCCAACAGUGGUGUCAGGGAUCCUAGGGGGUUCUGUGACUUUCCCCCUAAAUAUCUCAGUAGACACAGAGAUUGAGCACGUCAUCUGGAUUGGUCCCAAAAAUGCUCUUGCUUUCGCACGUCCCAAAGAAAAUGUAACCGUUAUGGUCAAAAGCUACCUGGGCCGACUAGACAUCACUAAGUGGAAUUACUCCCUGUGCAUCAGAAAUCUGACUCUGAAUGAUGCAGGAUCCUACAAAGCCCAGAUAAACCAAAGGAAUUUUGAAGUCACCACUGAGGAGGAAUUCACCCUGUUCGUCUAUGAGCAGCUGCAGGAGCCCCAAGUCACCAUGAAGUCUGUGAAGGUGUCUGAGAACUUCUCCUGUAACAUCACUCUAAUGUGCUCCGUGAAGGGGGCAGAGAAAAGUGUUCUGUACAGCUGGACCCCAAGGGACCCCCAUGCUUCUGAGUCCAAUGGAGCUUCCAUUCUUACCAUCUCCCGAAAGCCCUGUGACCCAG
RNAcentral lists this small RNA (705 nucleotides) under Pongo abelii (Sumatran orangutan). Its description in RNAcentral is "processed transcript". The record is from RNAcentral. Lineage: Eukaryota; Metazoa; Chordata; Mammalia; Primates; Hominidae.